GAUGAAGAACGUAGCGAAAUGCGAUAAGUAGUGUGAAUUGCAGAAUUCAGUGAAUCAUCGAAUCUUUGAACGCACAUUGCGCCCUUUGGUAUUCCUUAGGGCAUGCCUGUUCGAGCGUCAUUUAAACCUUCAAGCUAAGCUUGGUGUUGGGUGACUGUCCGCUUCACGGCGGACUCGCCUCAAAAUUAUUGGCGGCCGGUACAUUGGCUUCGAGCGCAGCAGAAACGCGAACUCGGGCCCGUCGUAUUGGCUCCCAGAAGCUAUCUUCACAAUUUUGACCUCGGAUCAGGUAGGGAUACCCGCUGAACUUAAGCGUAUCAAUAAGCGGAGGA
Molecule: unclassified non-coding RNA, 332 nt
Filed under: soil metagenome
Description: partial contains 5.8S ribosomal RNA, internal transcribed spacer 2, and large subunit ribosomal RNA
Rfam family: 5.8S ribosomal RNA (bases 1-120)
Source: RNAcentral